GAUGAACGCUGGCGGCGUGCUUAAUACAUGCAAGUCGAACGAAGUCAGUAGCAAUAUUGACUGAGUGGCGAACGGGUGAGUAACGCGUUGGUGACCUGCCCCGAAGAGAGGGAUAACAGUUCGAAAGGAUUGCUAAUACCCCAUGUGGUCAUUUGGAUUAGAUGCCUUAUGACUAAACGGAUUUAUUCGCUUCGGGAGGGGCCUGCGUCCCAUCAGCUAGUUGGUAGGGUAAUGGCCUACCAAGGCGAUGACGGGUAGGGGACCUGAGAGGGUGGCCCCCACACUGGCGACUAGAACAACGGCCGACGACACCUACCGGUGGGCAG
This 326-nucleotide ribosomal RNA is filed under the name uncultured Chloroflexota bacterium. Its description in RNAcentral is "bacterial SSU rRNA". It matches the Rfam family "Bacterial small subunit ribosomal RNA", at positions 28 to 354 of the family's 1533-position model. The record is from RNAcentral. Lineage: Bacteria; Bacillati; Chloroflexota.